ACCCGGAGGGUCAUCAAGUCCAACCCGCUGCAAAUGCGGGUAUCUUUUGCCCCACAUGGGGCUCAAACUCGCGACCCUGAGGUUUUCAGAGUCUCAAGCCCACACCAAGCUCCCACGUCAGUUUGGAAGGGUAGGUUGCCCAGCAAAUUUUGUUGCCCGCUUUCAGCAUAAACUGAAAGGAUAAGUCGGGGGCAAAUAAAAAGGCGGUGAAGUUUUUUGUUGUCCCUGAUCGUGCAACAGGGAACUGGCGACAUCAAAUCAAUAAGAGCUACCAGUAAUUAAAACCAGCUCCAGCGGAUGAGGAAAGGGCAUUUUGAAACAACAACAACAAGUCUUCCACUGUAACUGCAAAGUUGUUGAAGGUGAUCUAAGCAUUCCCAAUACAUAGGAAUGGUUGCACCACCAAAAAAAGCCUCUUCUCUGUUCCCGAGAGCGUUGAAGACUUGAGGCCAAGAGCAUAAAGAGAUUUAUCAAUCAAACAGUUGAGAAAGGAACUUCUCAAUAAAGUUGUUUCUCAUUUAAGGA
Molecule: long non-coding RNA, 525 nt
Organism: Podarcis raffonei (Aeolian wall lizard)
Lineage: Eukaryota; Metazoa; Chordata; Lepidosauria; Squamata; Lacertidae
Exons: 2
Source: RefSeq, a predicted model, not a curated record